GGCCUCGCCUCGCUAGUCCGUCUCCAGCCCCGCCGCCCAGCGUCCAGCUCCAGCCCGCGACCCUCGUCCAUGUGUUAAUGUGUCCGCCUUGCCGAGCCAAGAGUCUGCCGGCCGUCAGGCUAUACAGGAACCUGUGCACCAGCAAAGGAAGCAGGUUGGGUAACUCUGGCAAUCCGCUAGAACUGCAGGUGCUCACCCAGCUCCAUCACGUGCCAUAGAGUGGUGUUAGGGCCAUAACGAGAUUGACCUCUUGUGUACCAUGGUUCAAGGAGAGAAGAGUUGUGUAGGCUCGACCAUCAUGCCGCCAGAGAACAUCAGGAAAGCCAGUUACGAGGUCACCGUGAAGAAGACAAUGGGAACAUCGGAGCCCAAAACGGAGCAGAACAAGAAGUACGGGGCGUGGGGGCCCGUGUACCAGAGCAGGCAGAAGUUCCUGGAAAUGCACAUCUGCUAGCCACAUCUCUGUGCGUGUGGUGAUGAUACGAACAUUCCAGCGUGGCAACACUCAACCACCAUCACAUGCCGAUGAGAACAUUCCAUUUGGCGAAAUGAACUUCUGCAGUUGCGAAGCAGUACAAAUUAAUUUUUCCUAGUUCCAUGAAAGCAUAUAUAUCUUUAGAUGCCCCAUAUGAUUAAAUCGUACAGUGCGUGUGCGUUGCUGUCAAAUGUCAGCAUGGAUAAAUUAACAUCAACGUGAAUGAAUGUACUCUAUGCAAGGUCAUAAAGUGACGUGUCAAAUGUAAUAAUUGUUGCAUUUUCCACACUUCCUAACCCAAUAUUUCUGAUUUCUUCUUCUUGCUUAGUGCUAGAAAUAAUAACCUCAACGGAUAUCUUAGUAAUAUGUCCUUUGGACAUAUUUAGUUAUUCUGCGUCUAAAAUGGCACAUUAAAAAAAUUAGCCAACUGAAGGAUUUUCUAACAGCAAACAGUAACAAUUUACAAGUCUAAAAUGGUACAUCUGCUUCAUGACCAUGCCCUUUGAAGUCCACAAAUCCCAGGCUUCAGACCGGAGUCGAUGGGUAGGACUUUAAGGUAUGUAAAUUCUCGAAGGAAAUUUUUUCACGAUUGUACCUUAAGAACCGACCAACUCCAGGAGGAUAUACGAAAGUAUUCUCAGAUGCAUACCUUAUCAGCCGUAACCUGUAGGUCUACUUGUGUGUGAUAUUUUUAACACACGCUAAACUGUUAUUUCUGUACUGAGCAAGUGCUGAACUCCAUUUUAAAAUAGAAAAUACAUAAUCUGCAAAAACACUUGUGGCAUCAUGCAAAAACCACUCUUUGUGUGUGGUGUAUCACCGUGCAGAUAUUUUUAUUAUCGUAAGGCACUUCUAUGUGAAUCUAACUUCCAAGUACCCCAAACAAAAAAAAAUGUUAUCAGUUGGCACCAACAUUAUGUACACGUGAAACACGUCUUCUUUGAGUUAGUUAUUCAAAAUUUUAUUCUGAGAAGACACUCUGUUUGACAUCGCCAAAGAGGGCGACUAGACCAAGAAUUCAUGCUUUAAUUUUAGU
Long non-coding RNA from Bacillus rossius redtenbacheri, 1511 nucleotides. RefSeq lists it as uncharacterized. Lineage: Eukaryota; Metazoa; Arthropoda; Insecta; Phasmatodea; Bacillidae. The record is from RefSeq and is a predicted model, not a curated record. The transcript has 4 exons.